AGUGGUAGUAUCACCCAGAAUUGUAUCCGGUGUCUCUCCAUCAUUGUUUUGGAUGGGAGAUUGAUCUGCUUCUGGUUCUGGGACAACAGGUCCUUGAGGAUUUCCAAAAAGAGUGCUAAAUAUGCGUCUAUGGCAUUCAUCACAAAAGUAAAAAUAAGUAAAAUGACCCUCGUAUAAGAGCCUAUGUACCAUUGCAUCUGGUAGGACUCGCUGUAAAAAAUCAGUUGUGGAUGGCGGUACCACCAUAUCUUCCAUCCCCUGAUAAAAUUAGGAAAUUUAAUUACUUUACAAAAGUUGGCGUAAAUAUGUUGACAAAUCAUGAGGAAUUAUCUCGAAUAAGGGAAGCAAAAAUCGGUAAAGGAGAUAUGAACCAACCUGCCAUAUGUGAAUUUGACCAAGGAAUCCAGCCAAGAUUUCUUCUGUUUGACCAUACAGAGAUUUAAUCCAAUGCACAAUACCCUUUCCAGGGCGUUUCCUCUGCACUUUGAGGUCUGCCGGGCUAAAACCCCAAUUUGAAACCUGUAAGACAGCUUCCUCCACAAAUGGUUUUGCAUUCUUUUGUCGAACAGCUUCUUCGAGAUCUCUUUGCCAGAAAUCUUCAAAUGAUGGGUGCUCCAGCAAAGCUUUAUCCUGGAAAGGUUAGACAUUCUGUCGAUUAGGACAUGUUGACCUGGGAAAUAAAUGUGCCAAAGCCACUCAACCUCCAUGGAAUCUCUUAUAAAACAAUGCUGUUGUUUUUUUUUUUAACUAUAAAUUAUAAAUAAGGAGGUAAACAGCUUUUUAGUGAUUUGAUUUCUCGUUAGCUUUAUUUCAUUCAUGGAUAUAUCUUAAUAAGAUGAGCAUAAUCAGUUUAGUGGUGUUACUCUUGUUAUGCUAUUCAGAGUUGUUGGUCAUGAAUCAAAGUUACUCACUCUUAUUCCAAGUGACAAGGCAAGCCGUGUUUCGAUCGGGCCAUGGACUCUACUAAGGAAGCUUCUAUGGUAAAAGUAAGGAAGUAAUCUUGGAAACUUCCUAGCUAAUAUAUACAUGGCUUUCUUCUUUGUUGUCCAUGUCUUCCACAUUUUAUUCUUCUCCACCUUGGUCAUUCUUGGUUCAUAUGGAUUAACCAUUGGAGCGACCAUGACUGCACCUGCAAAUCCAUUCAGCAAUUAGAUUAUUAGAUUCAACUGAGAUAAUAUGAAGCGAACCUAAAUUUGGUUUGCAUAUUGAAUGAAACAGAAUAAGGUAUACUGGGGCUUCUGAAAUCUUCGCCAUAAAUAUUAAGUGCAAUGAAGUGUUUGAAGAACCCUAGGGAUCCAGAAUCAAGAAAGAGCAUCAACAGUAUCAUGAGGGCUUCUUUAACCCACUGUAGAAAACCGGUGACCCUUUCCAACUGCAAAAGUAUGUUUUAGGCCUUCAUGGCACUUCUCAAAAAAUGGGAUCACUUCUUAUGAACUCAUUGAGAAUGAUUCUGAUCUAGUUCAUGGCCCAAGUCGAUGACUAUUUAUAGCUAUUACCUUAAUGAACACUACAUUAGUUGCAGUGUAUCACUCAUUUGACAGGAUUUAUAGACUUUGUCAAUACUUCUUAUUCUUUGGCAGUUUUUACUGUGUCCGUUGGCCCUAAAAAGAUGCUAUAGAGUUGUAAAGUCUGUGAAUCUCCGUGAUAAACAUCAAAACACAUUGACUGCAAAAGGCUAACAGCAGCCAACUAGGUGGGCAUGUGAACUGGACAGGAGAAUGAAAUUUAAUUUGUAAAAACAAAGAAAAAGGCCAUCUUACCGGCAAUCCUGUCCGGGAUGUAUCUAAGGGCAGCCCAAGCAUGCAUGCAUCCACCAGAGUAUCCCACCACCCAGAAUUUGUCAGUAACAUUGACAGCAUAGGAUAAGUGUAGCAUAUCCAUGGCUGAUGACUCGAGAUUCCUGGAAGGAUGAGGAUCACUUUCUCCAAAUCCUGGAAGAUCAUAUGUUACCAAGCGAAUACCAUAUUCUUGCAGUAGCGAAGUCUUAAUGCCAGGAGAAAACAAAGAACAGGAAGACGGGAAGUAUCGCAGGGGUGACCAUACAUAUUGUUGUUUGGAAAGGUCUAAGGGUUAAAAUUUAGUACAAUACCUGCAAGACGGGACGAGAGAAAAGAAUGUGGAGCAAUCAUAGAGAAUCUAGCCAGCUCAGCAGGAACACCUUGUUCAUGAUAAGCCAAAUGUCUACCGUCUGGGAGCAAAAUUCGACUAGCAUUUGGAGGAUGUAUACACACUUUCUUGACCGAUGGAGUUGGAUAUAUAUUAUCAUUACUUGCAAUCAACACUGCAUAUUAGCUUUUAUCAGUAAUUGUAUAAAGUAAAGGUGUAGAAAGAUAGAACAUGCAAUCCGAAGAAAAUGAGGACAUCUGCAAACACAGGUAAGUUGAUCAACAAAUGAAGGGCAUAAAUUGUCAACCACUGUAAUCAAAUUUUCACAAAUUCAUGUGGAAAAGCGAGGAACUCAAUUUUUUUUGUUCUCUACUAAUUACUGCUGGCAUUCUAGUCCUAGUAGAAAAAAUGACCUUGUCAAGCUCAAGCAGUGAUCGGGCACAUUAUUUCAAGCUACAUCAUAUUUAUUAAAUGGUUUUCCACUGAUUUAUGCA
This is a long non-coding RNA of Capsicum annuum, 2600 nucleotides long. RefSeq lists it as uncharacterized. The record is from RefSeq and is a predicted model, not a curated record. Lineage: Eukaryota; Viridiplantae; Streptophyta; Magnoliopsida; Solanales; Solanaceae. The transcript has 2 exons.